AGAGUUUGAUCAUGGCUCAAAUUGAACGCUGGCGGUAGGCUUAACACAUGCAAGUCGUGCGAGAAAGUAUCUUCGGAUAUGAGUAGAGCGGCGGACGGGUGAGUAACGCGUAGGAAUCUACCUAGUAGAAGGGGAUAGCCCGGGGAAACCCGGAUUAAUACCGUAUACCUCCUUCGGGAGAAAGAAGGCCUCUCUUUGAAGCUUUCGCUACUAGAUGAGCCUGCGUAAGAUUAGCUUGUUGGUGAGGUAAAGGCUCACCAAGGCUACGAUCUUUACUGGUCUGAGAGGACCAUCUGCCACUUUGGGACUG
This 310-nucleotide ribosomal RNA is filed under the name uncultured gamma proteobacterium DCM-FREE-36. Its description in RNAcentral is "bacterial SSU rRNA". It matches the Rfam family "Bacterial small subunit ribosomal RNA", at positions 8 to 321 of the family's 1533-position model. Lineage: Bacteria; Pseudomonadati; Pseudomonadota; Gammaproteobacteria. The record is from RNAcentral.